GCCACCGGCAGCCGCGGGUCUAAAGAACGAAGCAAUACACAGGAGAAGGAGAUAUUGCAAAGCACCAGGGGAUGAAAUAUCGUCAGACAAACUGCAUGUAACAAUGAAGCAGGUGAAAGCAGCACAACCAACCGUACGAGAUGAACCUGGACACCAGCUGAGACCAGGAGACUGGGUGAACCUGGACACCAGCUGAGACCAGGAGACUGGGUGAACCUGGACACCAGCUGAAACCAGGAGACUGGGUGGUGGUGAAGGACUUCCAGAAGAGGUGGUGCGAACCAAGGUGGCGUGGGCCAUUCCAGAUCCUGCUCACGACUCCAUCCACAGUCCGGGUGACUGAACAAACAUCUUGGAUUCACGCCAGUCACUGCAAAUUGUAUUUUUCUGUGAACAUGUUAUCAUUUAUAUGAUAAAAGGAGGGAUUGUGGGAGAAAAAUAUAAUGUAACCUAGGAUAUAUGUAUCCCGAUAUGUACAAUGCAUAUAGUUAGAAAACUGCUUAAAAGAAUAAAAUGUGCUUGUGACAGAUAACCAGCAAAAAUGUAAGGGAGGGGUGAGUGCUCUGCCACACCUUACGUCAUAUAGGCAUACGUACAGGAGAUAAAGCGGAACACUCUCCCAUUGUUGGGUGCGCUCAUGUGCUUGUUAUGAUAAAAAUAAUGAGCCUAACCAGCCUAAGGAGGAAAGACGGAUGAUAAAUGUAAGCUUUCUAGUUGCUGUAGCAGUGUGUUAAUUGCAAAACAAAUGUUACAUGACUUAAAGGGCAGAUGUGGGCCCAGGAGUACAACGUGUGAUGGAAAAGUACUGAAACACUGUAUGAAGAUGAUUGGCUUUCACCGUAAUGUAUUCAUGUGAUAACUGAGGAUGUGUAAUGGUAUAAGAAUAGACACCCUGUCUGCUAAAAUCUAGAGUGUAUUCUCACAUUGGUGUGACGCAUUCUCCGUGCUUUGUUUUGCUGCAGUAUUAAUAAAGUUUGUAUUAUUGUAGCUCUCCUUGCUGUGAAAGAACAGGAAAGGUUGCUUGAAAGACGUCUCUCCAAGGAAUUUCCCCAACAACAUCUGUGGCAUCUCGCAGAUCUCAGCUCGCAGGUCACACAUUUUCAAAGAGAGCUGGCAGACAGGUCGGGAUCUGGCAGCCCUCCUUUAGCUCCAUCAGGCCCGCCGUUUUUGGAAAGGUUACUAUGACAGGCCCAUACGUGCCGUUACACUGCAGGUGAACAGGCCAACAUGUUCAGUUUCCCAAAAGUAGUCGAUGCCACUGACUGCACUCACCAGUGUAGGGAACAGGAUUAACCCAGCACUCACUCUGGCACACAGCAGUGUAGGGAACAGGAUUAACCCAACAUUCACUCUGGCACACAGCAGUGUAGGGAACAGGAUUAACCCAGCAUUCACUCUGAUACACAACAAUGAAGGGAACUUGAUUAACCCCGCACUCACUCACUCUGACAUACAGCAGUGUAGGGAACAUGAAUAACCCAGCAGUCACUCACUCUGACACAUGAAACUGGUAAACGCAAAUUCAUGGAACCUUAUUGUAUUGCUUGAGGUACAGCAGGUCAGUGUGUGGAAGUGCACACAACCUCAGACUGGGGCAAUGGUUCACCUUUCAGCACGACAAUGACCUGGAACAUACAGCCAAGACAACGCUGGAGUGGCUUUGGGACAAGUCUCUGACUCUGUGGUUCUGAUACACACUGUAACCUCUACAUGAAUGUUCAUCAGGUUCAUACUCCUCAUUUUACUGUACUAUUUUAUCCAGGGUCUAAACUGCGUGCUGAUACAUUCAGCGAGCAAUUUAUUAGGUAGACCUGUACACCAACUUGUUAAUGCCAAUAUUUAAUCAGCCAAUCAUGUGGCGGAAACUAAAUACAUACAAGCAUGCAGACAUGGUCAAGAGGCUCAGCUGUUUUUCAGACCAAAUGUCAGAAUGGGUAAUAAAUGUUAUCUAAGUGA
Molecule: long non-coding RNA, 1956 nt
Organism: Conger conger (European conger)
Lineage: Eukaryota; Metazoa; Chordata; Actinopteri; Anguilliformes; Congridae
Exons: 2
Source: RefSeq, a predicted model, not a curated record